This is a long non-coding RNA of Astatotilapia calliptera (eastern happy), 1064 nucleotides long. The record is from Ensembl. NCBI's taxonomy places the organism in Eukaryota, Metazoa, Chordata, Actinopteri, Cichliformes, Cichlidae.
UUUUCGCAGGAUCAGAAAACAAAACCAGGAGGCGCGUAAAUGUUUCUUCUCCAUGAUGUUUCUUCAAAUGUUUCUUCUGGAUGAUGAUAAGACUGUGACACGGGAUGCCACCUUUGGUCUUGUGAUGAAGCAAAGGUCAGGAAGAAGUGGGAUUAACUGGUACCCACAUCUGAGAAGGAUGUACAGGGGCACCUGCAGCCAAAUCCAAGCUUCAGAGCAGAGCGGCAGUUUGUGCUCACAGAUGGUGACGGUGUGGAGAGACGGUGGUGUUUCCUCAGAAGAACCAGCAGAGUCACUUGCUGACUGAUGUUCGUCUGCACUGCACAGAGGAAAUCAACUGACCGAGAUGGGCAGCAUAUCAGUCUUGGACUGUGUAACCUGCCGGAGCAGCACUGAAUGACCACCACACAUGAGCAUGUUCCUGCAACAUUCAGCAUCUGAUCCUUCAUCUGUGUGCUUCUGCUUUUGUGUCACAUGUCAAACAGCUGGAGAGGAAACUACACCAGUGUACUGGGAUGUUUCACCAACACACCAGAUGCUGUUCCUUCAUGGUGACAUCACCAGAGACAGCCCCGCCCACCUCAGGACCUCGCCAUUGAUCAUGAUGAUUAUAAUGAUGACAGCGAGCGGAACUAAGACUGUAAAAAUCCACGACCAGAAUGUUUCUUUCUAAUUAUGAAUGAAUACUGAGAGCCUCUUUCUGUGUUUUGUCUGUUUUGGGGUUGUUUUUUUUACCUCAUUUGUUACUAACAAAGUUCACAAACUCACACAGUUUACAUUCUGUAUGUUUCCAUCUUUACCAGCCACACUAACUGCAUUUAAGAAAAUAAUCCUUAGAAAUCGUCGUUUUUCUCUUUUGUAAUUGAUGAUAAUUCAGUGAAUAUACUGCGCUGCUUCCUUUUAUUGCGUCACACAUUGCUUUAAGUUUUUCAGUGUCCAGUUAUUUUUUACUGCUGUUUGAAUUCUCUGUAUGUUUGACCCUGUAGACUGUUUGAUGGACUGCUUGUCUUCCUGUUUGUUACCGCCGCCUGUUUUUUAAUAAAGAUUUGGAUUUCUGACUUCAA